RNAcentral lists this transfer RNA (73 nucleotides) under Mesocricetus auratus (golden hamster). It matches the Rfam family "tRNA". Rfam says of the family: Transfer RNA (tRNA) molecules are approximately 80 nucleotides in length. Their secondary structure includes four short double-helical elements and three loops (D, anti-codon, and T loops). Further hydrogen bonds mediate the characteristic L-shaped molecular structure. tRNAs have two regions of fundamental functional importance: the anti-codon, which is responsible for specific mRNA codon recognition, and the 3' end, to which the tRNAs corresponding amino acid is attached (by aminoacyl-tRNA synthetases). tRNAs cope with the degeneracy of the genetic code in two manners: having more than one tRNA (with a specific anti-codon) for a particular amino acid; and 'wobble' base-pairing, i.e. permitting non-standard base-pairing at the 3rd anti-codon position. Lineage: Eukaryota; Metazoa; Chordata; Mammalia; Rodentia; Cricetidae. The record is from Rfam by way of RNAcentral.
GUGGGGAUGGCUUAGUGGUUAAGAGCACCGGCUGAUCUUACAGAGGACCUGGGUUGAAUUCCCAGCACCCACG